This is a long non-coding RNA of Homo sapiens (human), 3174 nucleotides long. NCBI's taxonomy places the organism in Eukaryota, Metazoa, Chordata, Mammalia, Primates, Hominidae. The record is from Ensembl.
GCGGCAGCAGGGUUGGGCUCUCGCCGUGAGUCGACGAAGGGAGCGCGGGCGCGCGCCCGCGUCCGCGCACUGAGAGUCGCCUCGGCCGCUCGCUUUCUCGACUCCCGCCUCGCGCCUCGAUCCUGUUCCGCCUCCCUCGGCCCUCCUGCCCGCCCCCACUCGUCGGCCCUCAGGUACCUAAAAUGUCUCAUUAUUCAUCAAUUAAUGAAAAACAAAUGAAAAUUUGAGAGAGAUAUUCUGAAGAAUAAAAGGAUCAAGUUGGGUCAUUUCUAAAAUCUCAGAGACCUAAUAGGAUGGGGUCUUAGAGAAACAUCUUUUGAGCCACAGACUUCUUUGUUACCAGAAGGAAAAUGAAAGAAGAAAUUUAAAUACCACUUGAAGAGAGGUAAAUAAAUGAGAAAUGGGGCUGAGAGGGCGGGUAUUUUUUUAAAAAUUCAUUAAAUGGAAAAAUCCACAAAUGUUAAUUCUGGUAGAUUUCUUAGAAAUUACAUCAGAGGAGCAUGCUUGGUCUUCCCACCCUCAUUAGGCCUCAGUGACAGGUACUUGAACAACUGAGCCCCUAAUGUGCAUGCUCCCCCACCCCUGAAGCCAGUCUCUGCCCUCCUCUUCCCUCCUCUUGCCCCUGGAAGCUGAUCGCCACCAACUGGCCUCUGGGUGGAUUUGGCCAAUGGAAGCACCUGUAGAGGGAAGAGAGUGAGGUUAGGAUAUUUCUUCCUGCUGUCUCCGUGCUUCCCUGCAGAGAGUGUGAAGAAAUGACCCUGAAAAGCCUCUGGCAGAGGAUUCUUCUUUCAGGAUGGUGUCGCCUCCUCAGCAGCCCAUCCUCCUCCCCUGGACUCAAGCUCUCAUUCCAGUAACACUCCUUCCUCCUUCUCCAUCUUCAGGGGGAGGUUUGCCAGUCGGUGGGUUCUAAGCAUAUCUCGCUGAUUCCCCCCAACCCUGCCGACACCUCUGUAGGUCGUCCCUUCAUUAAAAUCUCUCCAUUUGAACUAUCUGAGUUUAAUUCCAUUUCCUCCUGGUAUCUCAGUGAUACACGGUAUCAGUACAAAAAUCUCGCUUCACCUUCAGAACCAACAGAUUUGAGACAUUUUAUCCUCUGUGGAACCAUUAGUUAUUUUGUCAUUGGUUGUAUCAGAAAAAAAAAUCAGGAAUGCAAAUCCUUCUUUAUUACAGAUUCAGAUUUGCAUAUUACCAAUGUUAUAUAUUUUAAACAAAACUAUUCAUCAUAAGUUUUAAAAAUUAACUACUGGAGUAGUUAAUGAAUCUGAAUGUAAUUAUGUAGCUUUCAUAAUAUUAAAGUAAAAAUACUAAAAGAAGUAUUUCUUAAAGAAGCAAAUGCUCAAUCUCCAAGUAAAUUUUAUUCUAUGCUCUUCCGGUAUAAGAAUAUGUUAAUAUCUUGAAAAAUAUCAUAUUAUUUUGUGAACUCAUAAAGCUAUUUUGAGUUUUUGUAAAAUGAAAACCUUACCAAAAUGUAUUUUAUUGUUGGAAAGCUUGACCGUUACUGCUGUUUAAUUUUUUGAGCUUGUAAACUUUAUUUGUGCAUGUUUUCAACAAAGAAGGAUUUUAUUGUUAUUACAUAAAACAGGUGAUUUCUAGAUUUUAAAAUCACAAAUUGAAAGCAAGGCACAAUAAUAUAUAUUUCAAGAUAUAGGUACUUAGGAGGCAUCCUUUUAGUCAUCUGUUCAAUGUAGCCAUCUAUUUUACACCUACUGUCUACUAUUGUUUGAGGUCCUUGCCAAAGUAUUGCAGGCUAGUUAGGAAACAUAAAACAAUUAGAAAGUAAUCUAUGACAAGUAAGCUAUCUAUAAAUGGCAAUGAAGGGUAGAACAAAUUCAAUGAAAAUAUCUAUUUAAUCCUAGUGUUUACUGGUCUAGAAGAAUAGGCUGAGUAAAUUAGUAUUUCUCUGGCUGUUGUGGUAACACAUUGCAUGCUAUAACAGUUUUAAGUAAUUACAGGUGCAUUGAAAUUUAUCUAUGGCUUUGUCAUCAUAUUCUAAAAUGUCAUGAGUACUUUUUUCUGACCUCAAUUACUAUGAAAUUGGUUUCCAAUAUUUAAUUAACCAAGAAUAUCAAGUCUAUAGGGUAUUAUUAAGGUGAGACUUCUGUAGCCUUUUCAAUAAAGACCAGAAUUUUGGAGUGCCUUGAACCUUAAUCAUUGAUCUUUAAUUCUUAUUAAGUCAACUGCCCACCUUUUAAAGACUGAGGCCCAGGAAGAGUAAGUUUCUCUGAGACAAUGCAUACAGUACAGUGCUUCUUGGGUAUUGGCUCUAAGACCAGAUGCAAAGAAAGGCUAAAAUCCCAUUUCAUUGUUCAUUAGGUGAGAACCCUUUGUUAAGCUGUGUAACCUCUGUGCAUAGUUUCCUCAUCAGCAAAGUCAGAAAAAGUAUGUACCUGAAGGACUGAUUGUAAGGCUGGGAUGAGAGAAUCCAUGUGAUCAGCCCUCACCAACAGGUGCUGCCCAGUUCAUGAGUGCUGCUGCUGUCCUGCCCAAGUACCCAGCUUGCAGAGUGCCAGAGUUAGAGUCCCAGGGGUGUUCUCCACAGCUGCAUGCUUGAUCCAGGCCUAUCAGCAUCUGAGGAAUACAUCCAAAGAGGGUGAUACUGUGGCAUGAUGGUACCAGGAUUCCAAGUUCAUUCCAGAGAAGAUGGCAAGAUGCAGAGAGGAGGAGUCACGCCUGAAGCCACACAGCUGACAUCAGAGCCAAAGCAUGAGCCUCAGUCUCUCUGACCCAGAGCUACCACCCUUGCUGCCUUGGGAAGAAGGAAGCCCCCUCCUAUUCUAUCCUUGAGCUGCCUUGGCAAGGAGGGGCCCCUUGCUGCCGCCAUCCUCACAGGACACCAUCCACAUGAGGGGAUGAAUCUCAGUUGCACUCAGUUGUUGCCCCCCUCGAACCUCCCUUGAGCCUCAGGAGAAACCACCCUGAUUCAGAGGUCCAGAGAAGACCUGACUAGCCCAAGGGUGUCACCGUGUCUGGAUGCGAUGCCUGGAAGUGCUACAGCCACUCGCGCCCAGCCUGAAGAUGAAACCAACCCCAAACACAGCCAAGCAGAGAGAUGGAAAGAACUAGGACCCUAAUUACACCACUGAGCAGCUAUAGCAACCAGUUCCAGAGCCCUCUGACUUCCCGCCAAACCAGACGGGUCUUUUCCUGCCGCCUACACAGAAUGGCCAUGGAGCA